AAUAUUACAUAAUGGGCGAAAGCCGGAUGCAGCAACGCAGCGUGAGGGAUGAAGGCCUUCGGGUCGUAAAGCUCUUCGAUCAGGGAUGAUAAUGACAGUACCUGAAAAACAAGCCAUGGCUAACUACGUCGCAGCAGCCGCGGUAAUACGUAGGUGGCGAGCGUUGUCCGGAAUUACUGGGAGUAAAGGAUGCGUAGGUGGAUAUUUAAGUGGGAUGUGAAAUCCCCGGGCUCAACCCGGGAACUGCAUUCCAAACUGGAUAUCUAGAGUGCAGGAGAGGAAAGCGGAAUUCCUAGUGUAGCGGUGAAAUGCGUAGAUAUUAGGAGGAACACCAGUGGCGAAGGCGGCUUUCUGGACUGUAACUGACACUGAGGCAUGAAAGCGUGGGUAGCGAGCAGG
Molecule: ribosomal RNA, 399 nt
Filed under: uncultured bacterium
Lineage: Bacteria
Description: partial 16S ribosomal RNA
Rfam family: Bacterial small subunit ribosomal RNA
Source: RNAcentral